UAGCAGAUUUUUUGAUAGUCGUAAUUAAAUAUUUUGGAUAGAUUUAAUUUUUGAAUGAAACACUUCCUUCUCGUUCAUUGCAUUAUCUGUUGCACUUCAAAUGCACAUAUUUAUGUUUAUCUGUUGUAGGGUUGCCAUACAACAAGUAUUAUUCGAAAUUGUAGGUAUUUUGGCUGUCAUUCCAGGAAAACUUUGUAUAGUUUUGAUAUACUUUAAGUAUUGAUUUUUGGAAAAUAUAAUAUUUUAGAGACAUGAUAACAAAUGUUAUCAUAGGUUUUUUAAGGCUGUUCUGGAAUGAUAUUUGUUAGGUUUUGUUUACUUCAAGGUCUGAUACAGAAACUGGAGUAAUUUUCAUUUAAUGAAUUAGAGUAUUUUAUUGUUUAUUCGUUUGCCACCCGGCUUUUGUUUUGGGUCCUUUAAAUUCGAGAUCAUUCAGUGCGCCGUUCUUUCUGUGACGAGAUCCUCUUGUAUAGUGAUCGGACGGCCGUAUAAGGGCCUGGAGCCCGGCAUGCCACGUGCUGCCGUGGCGUUCCAUAUUUUGUGUGGUGCGUUCUGUCAGUCUGACUGGCAGAAACAUGCUAAGGGUGGGAGUGCUCCUUGGAGAUCCUCGGUCUGCAGUCUGCAGGUCUCCGGAGUCGGGAAGAAGUAAAGAAUUAGAGAAUUGCAGAAGUAGAUAAUUAAACAAGAACCUUUACAAUUUCAAUGUGCAAGGAAACUUCUUUGGCUUACUGGCGCAAGGUGUCUUUGGACCUUGUUUUCGUAUGGAAGGGUCAGCCCUGUCCACGUGGCGAGGGGGCGUCAGCACCGGAGUCCGGGGAGCAGCCGGCUCAUCCCUGACAAGGUGUGUCUCCUGCCCGUUUCCUGCCGGUAAUGCUGUGUAAUUCAGGUUUUAAUUUCUGUGUAAAGUAAUUUCUGAUUUCAUUUAUUUUGAGAAUUCUGGUGCAUAACUUUAGGUAAAUUCAUAUUUAGUUUUUUGUAGAAUAAAUGGUUGUAAGAAACCUUUUCCUGGACCCUCUUAAAGCGGCCCAGCUUUACCACUGAGCGUAGUUCUUAUUUCAUAUAUGGUGUCAAAUUUAGUAUUUUGGAAACAUUAACUUAAACCUAUCUGUAAGGCAAGAUUUUGGUAUAAUAAAUAUAUAAAAUGUGA
Molecule: long non-coding RNA, 1147 nt
Filed under: Leguminivora glycinivorella
Lineage: Eukaryota; Metazoa; Arthropoda; Insecta; Lepidoptera; Tortricidae
Description: uncharacterized LOC125241234, transcript variant X2
Source: RNAcentral